UCUGACCUGCCCGUUGGAAAACUGAAAGGCCGCGGUAUUAUGACCGUGCAAAGGUAGCAUAAUCAUUAGUUUUUUAAUUGAAGGCUAGAAUGAAUGGUUGGACAAGAAAUAAUCUGUCUUAAAUUAAUAUAUUGAAUUUAACUUUUAAGUGAAAAGGCUUAAAUGAUCUAAGGGGACGAUAAGACCCUAUAAAACUUUAUAUUUUAAGGUGGAAAAUAAUUUUAUUUUAAAAUUACUAUUUUAAAUUAUUUUGUUGGGGCGACAAGGAUAUAAGAAAGGAUAACUGUCUUUUAUUUUUACAAUAAUAUUUGAAUUAUUGAUCCUAAAAGGGAUUAAAGAUUAAGUUACUUUAGGGAUAACAGCGUAAUUUUCUUUGAGAGUUCUUAUCGACAAGAAAGUUUGCGACCUCGAUGUUGAAUUAAAGGUUCUUUAUAGAGUAGAGACUAUAAGAGAAGGUCUGUUCGACCUUUAAAAUUUUACAUGAUUUGA
RNAcentral lists this ribosomal RNA (489 nucleotides) under Faxonius virilis species complex clade 1. RNAcentral describes it as "Orconectes virilis species complex clade 1 partial 16S ribosomal RNA". It matches the Rfam family "Bacterial large subunit ribosomal RNA", at positions 1853 to 2608 of the family's 2925-position model. Lineage: Eukaryota; Metazoa; Arthropoda; Malacostraca; Decapoda; Cambaridae. The record is from RNAcentral.